GACGGAGGGGGCUAGCGUUGUUCGGAAUUACUGGGCAUAAAGCGUGCGUAGGCGGCCUUUCAAGUUGGGUGUGAAAGCCCGGGGCUUAACCCCGGAAAUGCGCCCAAGACUGUUUGGCUAGAGACCGGGAGAGGUGAGUGGAACUCCCAGUGUAGAGGUGAAAUUCGUAGAUAUUGGGAAGAACACCAGUGGCGAAGGCGGCUCACUGGACCGGUACUGACGCUGAGGCACGAAAGCGUGGGGAGCAAACAGG
This 253-nucleotide ribosomal RNA is filed under the name uncultured bacterium. Its description in RNAcentral is "partial 16S ribosomal RNA". It matches the Rfam family "Bacterial small subunit ribosomal RNA", at positions 524 to 776 of the family's 1533-position model. The record is from RNAcentral.